RNAcentral lists this ribosomal RNA (1021 nucleotides) under Massarina albocarnis. Its description in RNAcentral is "SSU rRNA". It matches the Rfam family "Eukaryotic small subunit ribosomal RNA", at positions 75 to 1103 of the family's 1831-position model. The record is from RNAcentral. Lineage: Eukaryota; Fungi; Ascomycota; Dothideomycetes; Pleosporales; Massarinaceae.
UAUACCGUGAAACUGCGAAUGGCUCAUUAAAUCAGUUAUCGUUUAUUUGAUAGUACCUUACUACUUGGAUAACCGUGGUAAUUCUAGAGCUAAUACAUGCUAAAAACCCCAACUUCGGGAGGGGUGUAUUUAUUAGAUAAAAAACCAAUGCCCUUCGGGGCUCUUUGGUGAUUCAUGAUAACUUAACGGAUCGCAUGGCCUUGCGCCGGCGACGGUUCAUUCAAAUUUCUGCCCUAUCAACUUUCGAUGGUAAGGUAUUGGCUUACCAUGGUUUCAACGGGUAACGGGGAAUUAGGGUUCUAUUCCGGAGAGGGAGCCUGAGAAACGGCUACCACAUCCAAGGAAGGCAGCAGGCGCGCAAAUUACCCAAUCCCGACUCGGGGAGGUAGUGACAAUAAAUACUGAUACAGGGCUCUUUUGGGUCUUGUAAUCGGAAUGAGUACAAUUUAAACCCCUUAACGAGGAACAAUUGGAGGGCAAGUCUGGUGCCAGCAGCCGCGGUAAUUCCAGCUCCAAUAGCGUAUAUUAAAGUUGUUGCAGUUAAAAAGCUCGUAGUUGAACCUUGGGCCUGGCUGGCCGGUCCGCCUCACCGCGUGUACUGGUCCGGCCGGGCCUUUCCUUCUGGAGAGCCGCAUGCCCUUUACUGGGUGUGUCGGGGAACCAGGACUUUUACUUUGAAAAAAUUAGAGUGUUCAAAGCAGGCCUUUGCUCGAAUACGUUAGCAUGGAAUAAUAGAAUAGGACGUGCGGUCCUAUUUUGUUGGUUUCUAGGACCGCCGUAAUGAUUAAUAGGGAUAGUCGGGGGCAUCAGUAUUCAAUUGUCAGAGGUGAAAUUCUUGGAUUUAUUGAAGACUAACUACUGCGAAAGCAUUUGCCAAGGAUGUUUUCAUUAAUCAGUGAACGAAAGUUAGGGGAUCGAAGACGAUCAGAUACCGUCGUAGUCUUAACCGUAAACUAUGCCGACUAGGGAUCGGGCGAUGUUUCUAUCUUGACUCGCUCGGCACCUUACGAGAAAUCAUAAG